This is an RNA transcript of Brassica napus (rape), 1200 nucleotides long. It is a transcript of the gene named protein SOB FIVE-LIKE 5-like, with no coding region annotated. The transcript is spliced from 4 exons. NCBI's taxonomy places the organism in Eukaryota, Viridiplantae, Streptophyta, Magnoliopsida, Brassicales, Brassicaceae. The record is from RefSeq and is a predicted model, not a curated record.
UACAUACUGGCAAUGUAAGAAAAGAGUAACAAAUUAAGUAUGACAGAAUUUAUUUAUACAAAUUUGAAUCGAGUUCACAUGAUGCGAAUUUGCAAAGGUUGAGUGUGCCUAAAUAUCGCCGACUUAUCCAUUAGAUUUUAUUAAUGUUAUUUCGUUCACGUAUGUUGCUGUAAUAACGACAAAACAAGAGCCAAAAAUUAUUAGACCAACCUAAGGUUUGAAAAUUAAUAGGCGGAAGAAGUAGGAGAGGCUGAUAAUAAGUUAAAAUAAGAUAUAACUUCGUAUAAGACCAAUAAACUGAAUAAAAUUAAGUAGAGAUAGAAAGAUAAAUACAUAUAAUGUACAUGCAUGUGUAUAAAUUGAGUAGAUUCUUCACGCAUUGUUUUUCUCUCUAAACCUUUCUCACCAACACUAUCUCUUUCUUGUCACAGCAGUUCAAUCUCAAGAACGAAAAGAAGAAGAAAAUGUCGGGUUCGUCGGAAUGGAGUAGUGGAAGCGAGUCAGGAUGGACUCUGUACUUAGACCAUUCUGUUUCUUCUUCUCCAAGCCCUUCUUGUUUACGAGACUCCAAUGGGUUUGAUAACAGAAGAAGAAGCAAAGACUCAUGGAGCCAAAAUUAUGUGCAUCAAGAAGAGGAGGAAGAUUUGUCAAUGAUUUCAGAUGCAUCUUCUGGUCCAAGGAAUAUUUGUGAGGAAGGUUCUGUCAAAAUCUUAAACAAUGUUGGUCCUAAGAUACAGAGCAAGAGAGAAAACAAAAGAAUAGAUUAUGAGAAAAUGAACUCUCUGCUUGAUGACACUGCUAGUUCUCAUAUGUUGCAGAAAAGUAGUGUGGGUGGUAAUAAGAUAGAGCAAACCUUUCCAGAAAGUACAUUGGAUUAUUCACAAGGCUUCUCAGCAACUCACUUUCAGUAGGACAAAACAGCAUUCCAAGAUCAGUAUGGUUAUUUGCAUACGGAAAUUCUAAACAACCAGUUAGCUUUUAUGGAUUCAAGUAAUGAUUAAAGUGAAUCUUAUAUUCCUUACGAAAGAAGUGCUAUAAAAGAAACCCACAAGUGAAGGGAUCGGAUCGACUAAAGAUAGGCUCUCAAAUCUCCAAUGGAUCUGAAUCUUUUAUCUUGUGAUUUGUAAUUUCGUCACAAACGAGUUUUUUUCUCUUCCAGUUGCAAUUUUCUGUCAGUGUAAUGUAGCAGUAUUUUCCCUC